UUGCCAGGUGUCUCACUUUCAACUGUGAUCUCCUGAAGGCUGAUGUACGGGGACCCUCUAUGCACCGAACCCAAUACGUUCAUUCCCCGUAUGAUCGUCCUGGUUGGAACCCUCGGUUCUGCAUCAUCUCGG
This 132-nucleotide small RNA is filed under the name Pan troglodytes (chimpanzee). Its description in RNAcentral is "processed transcript". Lineage: Eukaryota; Metazoa; Chordata; Mammalia; Primates; Hominidae. The record is from RNAcentral.